Molecule: long non-coding RNA, 1035 nt
Filed under: Callithrix jacchus (white-tufted-ear marmoset)
Lineage: Eukaryota; Metazoa; Chordata; Mammalia; Primates; Cebidae
Description: lncRNA (ENSCJAG00000087269.1)
Source: RNAcentral
UAGCAAUUACUGUAUGUCUGGCAUUAUUUUAAGAAUUUUACACAAAAAUAAUUAAUCUAACCCUAACAAAAACCCAAUGGGGCAAGUUGUAUUGUCCCCCCUUUGCAGGUGAGGAAGACAAAGUGAGUGGGCUCAGUAACUCACCCGAGUCACAGUCACACUGAGUCACAGCAGGAUCUGGGCCCCGACAGUCCCCUAUCCCAAGUGAAAGAACCAAGACUCCAGGAGGGCUGCAGCUUUGUCCAAGGUGUUGUUGAAUUGCAGGAGUUCCAUAUCCUGGGGGUUUCUUAACUGAUCAUUUCCAAUCCCCAACCACACACCUGUCAGGAAGUCUUAAAGAUCCAGGUGGAGACAAACAGUCCUUUGGUAGGAGCUAGGAGGCUGGAUGCAGAAGACGGUGGUAGAUGAGGAGGAAAUGGGAAGGCAUCUAACACUCACCUACCCUUGCCCUAAAGCCAGGGACCCUCUUCCAUUAAAGAAAAAUCCACAUUCUGCUUGCAGAUGCUUGUUACUCUUAUCCACAGAAGCUCUGUUAACCUGCCUGCCACAGACAUGGAGGCCACUGACCUUCAUCCCCAACCACAGCUGCAAUAGAGUGGCAGGAAUUCAAGGAAAGAGGAGCAUGUGGUGUGAAAGAAGGAAGAGAAGAGGACCAGCACUAGGAGAGGAUGCUUCCUCCCAGACCAGACAAGCUCCACAGGUAAAGAGCUUCAACGUGAAGAUUAAGUUAAAGAAAACAAGCAUAACCCUUAUAUCGAUGUUCCCAUUCAUGCAGCCCCAUGGGGAUGAUGCAGCGGUCAUGUGACUAAUUUUGUAGCUGCCCGAACAGGUGUGUAGAAUAAUAAUAAUAAUGUGAGUGAUUCCUGUACUGUCUCGAUUCACUGUACAAGUUAUCACCGUGUGAGGAACAGGUCAUCACUCAGAAGACAGUGGGAUGCACUAAACUGCAGACUCUCAGGAUGGAGAAGUAGGGUUUGGCUGCAGAAGAGAGGGUAGUGGUCAGGCGAGUGGGGAAGCACAUGCCCUUGAGGGAGG